Molecule: non-coding RNA, 2510 nt
Organism: Pelodiscus sinensis (Chinese soft-shelled turtle)
Lineage: Eukaryota; Metazoa; Chordata; Testudines; Trionychidae
Source: RefSeq, a predicted model, not a curated record
UCCCUCAUGCUUGUUUUCAAUGAACCAGAAGCUUGUCCCUGCUCACUCCAUACGUAUCUCUCCAGAUCAUUAAGAAAGCAAGCACAAGCGUUGCUGAUCGGCUGAUCCCCAUCGCACAGUGCACUAAUACUCUGCCUGAAAAUAAGAGAGAGCACAUCACUAUUUUACACCGUACAGGAGCACCUAGACUUUCAGGUUUAGUAACUGCUGCGAAGCCAAUGAGGCGAAGUUUUUUUCUGUCUUUCCUAGAAGGUAAUUGAACCAGCAGAGAUGUGAUUAUCUUGAACAUGCCACUGAUUUCAAUAAUAGCUGUGCAAACUGUGGGAAGAGCAGUAGAGCAGCCUCCCUCCAACCCUGGCAAGGAGAGAGCCUCUCGAGUUCACUGCUGGAACAAAACCAAAGCGUCCCGGAUGCUUUCAUGACAAGGAAUUGCGUCAAAACAGCCGUUUUGGGAUCAAAAAGGCGCUGCUUUCUACCAGAAGCAAAUAAGUUCAGUAGAAGAUCAGCUGGAAAAGUUUCCGGCUGCAUCGGUUAGUUUGCUUGGAGAUGUCUUGUCUCAUUUGCUGACCCGUGGACGGGGAUUCUCAAGCUACCGAGGUGGUUCCAUUGUCAAUUGCAACCAAAGACUGUACUGAGGAUGUGCCAUAGGGCCAUGCAGGUACGGAGUGGCAGUUUUUGAGCAAGGCACAAUCCAAAGAAGCUGGAAUGGUGGCAUCUCAUUAAAUAGUGCUUCCAUAGCUUGGUUACAGCAACAGACUCUGGACACCUGCUUGCUGAUAGUCAAGAGGCUGCGUUUUGAGGGCAGUGGUGGCCCGUCAAUAUAGGCAAACUAGGCAGUUGCCUAGGGAGCCAAGAUAAACAGCUGUUGAGGGCUUUGGAGGCGGGGGUGCCGACUGCAUGCCGAUCGUGCGUUUUGCCUAGGGUGCCAGUUGCCGGCAGCUCAUCUAGGGCCACUCCUGUUUGAGGGUGAUGAGUGCUCCUUUACUUACUAAUACCCCAGUACUGGUGUAGAGGAGAUCGAGGAAGUCCAAUAGCUAGGACAACAGUUUCUCUUUAAGCAUACAACAGAGCUCCCAUGGAAGUCAAAAUAAACAACCUGCCCCAGUGGUGUUCAGUUAUGUCAGCAUAAAUCUGGAGUAACUCUGAUUUCAGUGACAUUACUCUAGGUUUACAAUGGUGUAACAGAAUCUGGCCUCAAGUGCAAUUCUAAAGAUCGAGUAUGUGAUUCACAGCUUAAAAAUCUCCAGGAUGUGUGUACAUCAUAUAUACUUCAAUGUUACUCGGUAUUCUCCUGGAUGUACAAGUUAAUAAAAAUGCCUUCUAAAAAGCUGCAGUGGAACUAACUAGUCUGAGAAACUAUUUAGUAGUCAAUCAAAAGUACUAUGGUAUACCCUAACUUGAAAACAAAUGGCUCUCAUGUUAGAUGGUACAUUUAUGUUGCUCUACAUCUCUAGUUUUAAAAAAAUGCAACUAUUUUCCCCCUCAUCUAAGGCCAUGUCUUCAGUCCAGGGAAGAUCGAUACUGUUGUGAUCAAUCUUCCAGAGUUUGGUUUAGCGGGUCUAGUAAAGACCCGCUGAAUCAAACUCAGAGGGUGCCCCUGUCGACGAUUGGUAGUCUUGUUCCUGUCAGGUGUAAGGGAAGCUGACGACCAUUUCCUCCCAUCGGCCUCCUGUUUUGGGGACAGUGGGGAAACUCAAAGCAAGGUACAUCAACUUCAGCUACAUUGUGUAUUUUGAGUUAUGUAUCUUGAUUCAACCUUCCCCUUUAGUGUAGUCCUGGCCUAAAAGAUGUGGCUAACACACUCAUCAUUCCUUUCUUUCCUGCACAGGCCCUGGCUAUUUAGCUGCUGAGUUGCUGUAGCUAAAAUAGCUCUGUUUCCAGAAUGUCUUGUUCAUUAUGUACUAAACUCUGACACCCUUUAAAAAAACCCAAAACUUCAAAUGGUGACUGUCAGCAGCAGCUGGAUUGUGUGUGGUUUUGAAUUUGGCCUUCUUGCCAUUCCCAGCACUCCUGCUGGCAUAUGGACUUGGAGAGUUGAGGAAAGUAAUAUCUAUAGCCGUAACAGAAGGACUAAAUAUCUAUUCUGGCUAUGAUUAGUUCAGCUGUGAUGACCUUAUACCCACACUGUAGUUCCAUAGGACAGCAAUAUAGUCUAUUUUUUUACGGUUCUCCUUUCAGUACUCUGGAAUGUGCCCAUGAAGGCAUUGUAUUUCCUUUGUGGACAAAGUUGUACUAACCUCUUCAAGGAGGGAAGGGAGCAUCUGUCCAGAUUCACCUUACGGUUCAGAUUCUCUUCCUGACCAUGGAGAGAGCCCAUCGACAGAGACUGCUGGUAGACAGCAGAUGCAAACGGCUUUCCCCUAAGGAACCCAGUGGGGCGAACAUAAAGUGGCCGCACCUUUCCCUUACUAUCAUGCUAACUACUUUGAACGGGGAGCGUGCAACUGAAAACUUGAUUUGUUUGAAAAAGCGGGUCCUUAAUUUCUCUGUGCCAUGUAAUGUUCCAGAUG